UACGAAGGGUGCAAACGUUGCUCGGAAUUAUUGGGCGUAAAGCGCACGUAGGCGGCAUUGCAAGUCGGAUGUGAAAUCCCUCGGCUCAACCAAGGAAGUGCAUCCGAAACUGCUGUGCUUGAGUACUUAAGGGGAUCGCGGAAUUCCCGGUGUAGAGGUGAAAUUCGUAGAUAUCGGGAGGAACACCAGUGGCGAAGGCGGCGAUCUGGGAAGAUACUGACGCUGAGGUGCGAAAGCGUGGGGAGCAAACAGG
This 253-nucleotide ribosomal RNA is filed under the name uncultured bacterium. Its description in RNAcentral is "partial 16S ribosomal RNA". It matches the Rfam family "Bacterial small subunit ribosomal RNA", at positions 524 to 776 of the family's 1533-position model. The record is from RNAcentral.